CCAACUCCACCGUCUGCAGCCUAAGACGCAAAUAAAGAAAUGACAUUUAUUAAUGAACUGUUUGGUUGUCGAGAAAACAGAGGAAAAAACAACAAAUGUUAGGAUGAAACUAGGGCAAAUAAAUGAAAUAGAUUCACAAAUCCAAAACCGCACUGUUCGGCCGCAUAGAAAAAUGCACCAAUCCACCAAACCGCAGCUCAGCUCAACUGAGCCUAGCACAGUCACACACCCUCC
This 234-nucleotide long non-coding RNA is filed under the name Vitis vinifera (wine grape). Its description in RNAcentral is "long non-coding RNA (VVIN_LNC002408)". Lineage: Eukaryota; Viridiplantae; Streptophyta; Magnoliopsida; Vitales; Vitaceae. The record is from RNAcentral.